GACUGUAGUAUGUGCAGAUUAAUCCUUAGGUCGCUGGUUCGAAUCCGGCAGGUCGGAAUUAUUUUU
This 66-nucleotide small RNA is filed under the name Oryza sativa Japonica Group (Japanese rice). RNAcentral describes it as "sRNA Os01g0760150". Lineage: Eukaryota; Viridiplantae; Streptophyta; Magnoliopsida; Poales; Poaceae. The record is from RNAcentral.